Mastomys coucha (southern multimammate mouse) is the source of this 470-nucleotide long non-coding RNA. RefSeq lists it as uncharacterized. Lineage: Eukaryota; Metazoa; Chordata; Mammalia; Rodentia; Muridae. The transcript has 2 exons. The record is from RefSeq and is a predicted model, not a curated record.
AAGAAGAAGAAGAAGAAGAAGAAGAAGAAGAAGAAGAGGAAGAAAGAAGAAAGAAGAAAAGAAGAAGAAAAGAAGAGGAACAACAACAAGAACUUCUAAAAUCAGAGGAUAAAGCAUUACCAAGAGUGUUGUACAGGUGGAUCUGUCAGCAGGGUUCUGUUUGCCCUUCAUUGGUGGCAGCCUGAGAACACUCAACUCACAAACCACACAACAUCAGGAUGUAUUUACUCCUCUGAGCUUCACCAUAAGCAAUGGUCCUGUUUCUCCCAAGCAGCUGUAUUUUGUAGACACUGUGAACAUGAAGCUCAGCAUCCGUUUCUUCAAAACUGACCUCCUAUCUCGCCUUGGGAUCCCUCCCUCCUACAUGUGCUCUUGUUAUUGUGAGGCUAUCCACCACCAUGGAGUCUUCAUCAGAAUCCAGCAAAAGCUCUGAACUGUGAGAUAAGUAAAGCUCUUUUCUUAAUAAGAUA